CACGCAGGCGGUUUGGUAAGUCAGGGGUGAAAGCCCACAGCUUAACUGUGGGAUUGCCUCUGAUACUGCCUUUCUGGAGUGCAGGAGAGGGAAGCGGAAUUCCGAGUGUAGAGGUGAAAUUCGUAGAUAUUCGGAGGAACACCGGUGGCGAAGGCGGCUUCCUGGCCUGUAACUGACGCUCAGGUGCGAAGGCGUGGGGAGCAAACAGGAUUAGAUACCCUGGUAGUCCACGCCCUAAACGAUGGGCACUAGGUGUGGGAGGUAUCGACCCCUUCCGUGCCGCAGCUAACGCAUUAAGUGCCCCGCCUGGGGAGUACGGCCGCAAGGUUGAA
This 332-nucleotide ribosomal RNA is filed under the name uncultured bacterium. RNAcentral's name for it is "bacterial SSU rRNA". It matches the Rfam family "Bacterial small subunit ribosomal RNA", at positions 568 to 898 of the family's 1533-position model. The record is from RNAcentral.